Molecule: transfer RNA, 72 nt
Filed under: Chrysemys picta bellii (western painted turtle)
Lineage: Eukaryota; Metazoa; Chordata; Testudines; Emydidae
Description: tRNA-Cys (GCA) (tRNA-Cys-GCA-11-1)
Rfam family: tRNA
About the family: Transfer RNA (tRNA) molecules are approximately 80 nucleotides in length.
Source: Rfam by way of RNAcentral
GGGAGUAGAGCUCAGUGGCAGAGCAUUUGACUGCAGAUCAAGAGGUCUCUGGUUCAAAUCCAAGUGCUCCCU